UGUGUGCCUUUUUACUUGGAAACUUGUCAGCUCUCCGGUUAUCUCUCCCCUGCUCUCUCACAGCGUUCAACCGCUGACGUCACUCUGACAGCCUGCUACACCUCUCGCUGUUCAGACAGGAAGUAUCUGGAUUGCUGCCAGUUUUCGUACAGACACCGGAGUUUCACUGCCACAUAACAAGACACUGCUCUCCUGAUGGGCAAGUAAUUUGCAUACAAAGAGAGAAGCGCUCUACCAGGAACGAACAACAGCUCAGUGGCUUGUUCUAUGGCGAUUUACUACCCGGAAGCAGCCUCUUUUAGACCAGUGUGCUUUUCACAGAAGAAAACUUUCCUGAAGUAUAUCAGUCUGAUCCCGCCAAGUAAGUGUCGAACCCUAUUUCUGCAGGAUUCUAACGUUCCUGAACCAAGAAAGGAUAUCUUUUAAUCCAAUUCAUCGGAACCUACUGUUUUUUCAAGCAAGAUCCUUACAUCUAUACAUUUUAGAAGUUUAUUAUUCUUCAAUCAGUUUUCUUUGUCUGCUUAUUUCUUGAUAUUUUUCAGCUUAAUUUGUUUGGGACUUUUGCUCUCUUUCAUAAAUUGUAUUUGGUUUCUUCCGCAUCAAAGAUCAAAGAGGAGGAGUUGCUACUUACUGGACACUUUAUGGACACUUGCACUAUUCUGAUUGGUCCUUACUUUCUCUGACCUCUCAAGUUUUUCUCUCAUUGGUCUCUGUGUUAUACUCAUUAUUUGGAUUGUUCUUAUUGUAAUUCAUAUAUAUGCAUUAAACGUGCUGUCUGGGCAGUAAAGAAAAUGUUAAUAGCAAAA
This is a long non-coding RNA of Bombina bombina (fire-bellied toad), 806 nucleotides long. RefSeq lists it as uncharacterized. The transcript has 3 exons. NCBI's taxonomy places the organism in Eukaryota, Metazoa, Chordata, Amphibia, Anura, Bombinatoridae. The record is from RefSeq and is a predicted model, not a curated record.